Molecule: transfer RNA, 75 nt
Filed under: Vibrio parahaemolyticus
Lineage: Bacteria; Pseudomonadati; Pseudomonadota; Gammaproteobacteria; Vibrionales; Vibrionaceae
Also listed under: 18 other names
Description: tRNA-Glu
Rfam family: tRNA
About the family: Transfer RNA (tRNA) molecules are approximately 80 nucleotides in length. Their secondary structure includes four short double-helical elements and three loops (D, anti-codon, and T loops).
Source: RNAcentral
GGCCCUAUGGUCAAGCGGUUAAGACAUCGCCCUUUCACGGCGGUAACCCGGGUUCGAAUCCCGGUAGGGUCACCA